CACGUAGGGGACGAGCGUUGUCCGGAUUCAUUGGGCGUAAAGCGCGCGUAGGCGGCUCGGAAAGUCGGUCGUGAAAUGCCGGGGCUCAACCCCGGGACUGCGUCCGAUACUCUCGAGCUGGAGGCAGGUAGGGGAGAUCGGAAUUCCUGGUGUAGCGGUGAAAUGCGUAGAUAUCGAGAGGAACACCUGCGGCGAAGGCGGGUAGCUGGGCCGACACUGACGCUGAGGCGCGAAAGCCAGGGGAGCGAACGGG
RNAcentral lists this ribosomal RNA (253 nucleotides) under uncultured bacterium. Its description in RNAcentral is "partial 16S ribosomal RNA". It matches the Rfam family "Bacterial small subunit ribosomal RNA", at positions 524 to 776 of the family's 1533-position model. The record is from RNAcentral.